This 453-nucleotide ribosomal RNA is filed under the name uncultured bacterium. Its description in RNAcentral is "bacterial SSU rRNA". It matches the Rfam family "Bacterial small subunit ribosomal RNA", at positions 328 to 794 of the family's 1533-position model. The record is from RNAcentral.
UCGCCAGACUCCUACGGGAGGCAGCAGUAGGGAAUCUUCGGCAAUGGACGAAAGUCUGACCCAGCAACGCCGCGUGAAGGAAGAAGGCUUUCGGGUUGUAAACUUCUUUUCUCAGGGACGAAGAAAGUGACGGUACCUGAGGAAUAAGCCACGGCUAACUACGUGCCAGCAGCCGCGGUAAUACGUAGGUGGCAAGCGUUAUCCGGAUUUACUGGGUGUAAAGGGCGUGUAGGCGGGAAAGCAAGUCAGAUGUGAAAACCACGGGCUCAACCUGUGGCCUGCAUUUGAAACUGUUUUUCUUGAGUACUGGAGAGGCAGACGGAAUUCCUAGUGUAGCGGUGAAAUGCGUAGAUAUUAGGAGGAACACCAGUGGCGAAGGCGGUCUGCUGGACAGCAACUGACGCUGAGGCGCGAAAGCGUGGGGAGCAAACAGGAUUAGAUACCCCGGUAAGA